RNAcentral lists this ribosomal RNA (1394 nucleotides) under Leptodactylus pentadactylus (smoky jungle frog). Its description in RNAcentral is "partial 16S ribosomal RNA". It matches the Rfam family "Bacterial large subunit ribosomal RNA", at positions 120 to 2567 of the family's 2925-position model. The record is from RNAcentral. Lineage: Eukaryota; Metazoa; Chordata; Amphibia; Anura; Leptodactylidae.
CCAACAAUCUAGCCCCCCACCAACCAAUAUCACAAUCAAACCUCAGCCCAUUAAUUAAACCAUUUUAACAACCUAGUAAAGGAGAUUGAAACUUUAUAAGGAGCUAUAUUUUAGUACCGCAAGGGAAAGAUGAAAUAAAAGUGAAAAAAAUAUAAAGCACAAAAAAGUAGAGACGCACCCUCGUACCUUUUGCAUCAUGGUUUAACUAGUCCAAUCAAGCAAAAAGACUUAAAGUUUGACCCCCCGAAACUAAGUGAGCUACUUCAGGGCAGCUUUUUGAGCCAACCCGUCUCUGUUGCAAAAGAGUGGGAAGACCUCCAAGUAGAGGUGACAGACCUACCGAACUUAGUGAUAGCUGGUUGCUUGAGAAAAGGAUUUUAGUCCAACCUAAAACUACUUAAAUUUCUACAAAUCUUCCGCCUAGUUUUAGAGAAAUUCAAAUAAGGUACAGCCUAUUUGAAUUAGGAUACAACCUAAACCUGAGGGUAACUUUUUCCAUGCCCGGUUAAGUUGGCCUAAAAGCAGCCACCUUUAAAAUAGCGUCACAGCUUAGUCGCAUCCUUAAUUUAAUCCCUAAAGCCUAUACGAACCCCACUACAGUACCAAGCAAUUCUAUAUCUAUAUAGAACUUUUUAUGUUAAAACUAGUAACAAGAAGAUACAGCUUCUCUUUAAUGCAAGCAUACAUCAGUCAGGACAAACCACUGAUAUUUAACAUACAUGACCCUACAGUAGAAACACUACAAGAAAACCCUACUAAACCAUAUGUUAAUCUAACCCAAGAGCAUUACAAGAAAGAUUAAAAGAAAGAGAAGGAACUCGGCAAAUUUUAACCCCGCCUGUUUACCAAAAACAUCGCCUCUUGUAUACCUAUAAGAGGUCCAGCCUGCCCAGUGACUCUGUUCAACGGCCGCGGUAUCCUAACCGUGCGAAGGUAGCGUAAUCACUUGUUCUUUAAAUGAGGACUAGUAUGAAUGGCACCACGAAGGUUAUACUGUCUCCUCUCUCUAAUCAGUGAAACUAAUCUCCCCGUGAAGAAGCGGGGGUAAUUAUAUAAGACGAGAAGACCCUAUGGAGCUUUAAACUAAGAAUCAACUGCUUAUUCCCCUACAAAUUUCAGAAAACUAACUUUUACCAAAGCACUCUGAUUUCUAGUUUUAGGUUGGGGUGACCACGGAGUAAAAACCAACCUCCGCAAUGAACAGGGAUCUUCCCUUAACCAAGGGCCACAACCCUAAGAAUCAAUACAUUGACAUCAAUUGAUCCAAAAAAUUUGACCAAUGAACCAAGUUACCCUAGGGAUAACAGCGCAAUCCACUUCAAGAGCUCCUAUCGACAAGUGGGUUUACGACCUCGAUGUUGGAUCAGGGUAUCCUAGUGGUGCAGCCGCUAUUA